GACGAACGCUGGCGGCGUGCUUAACACAUGCAAGUCGAACGAUGAAGCCGGAGCUUGCUCUGGUGAAUUAGUGGUGAACGGGUGAGUAACACGUGAGUAACCUGCCCUUGACUCUGGGAUAACUGCGGGAAACUGUAGCUAAUACCGGAUACGACCCUCGGAGGCAUCUCCUGGGGGUGGAAAGAAUUUCGGUCAAGGAUGGACUCGCGGCCUAUCAGCUAGUUGGUGAGGUAAAGGCUCACCAAGGCGAAGACGGGUAGCCGGCCUGAGAGGGUGACCGGCCACACUGGGACUGAGACACGGCCCAGACUCCUACGGGAGGCAGCAGUGGGGAAUAUUGCACAAUGGGCGCAAGCCUGAUGCAGCCACGCCGCGUGAGGGAUGACGGCCUUCGGGUUGUAAACCUCUUUCAGCACCGACGAAGCGCAAGUGACGGUAGGUGCAGAAGAAGGACCGGCCAACUACGUGCCAGCAGCCGCCGUAA
Molecule: ribosomal RNA, 484 nt
Filed under: uncultured bacterium
Lineage: Bacteria
Description: partial 16S ribosomal RNA
Rfam family: Bacterial small subunit ribosomal RNA
Source: RNAcentral